Paramuricea clavata is the source of this 167-nucleotide non-coding RNA. Lineage: Eukaryota; Metazoa; Cnidaria; Anthozoa; Malacalcyonacea; Plexauridae. The record is from the annotation of a GenBank genome assembly.
AGUUGAUGAAACAACUUGCAUCAAGUCUGCAAAUGACAACUUGCAGCAAGCCUAAUGUUCUCAACUUGCAUCAGCAUUGAUGCGUUCAUCAGACUUGCUGCAAGUUGUUCUAUCAGGCUUGCUGCAAGUUGAUAUUUGCAGACUUGAUGGAACUUGUUUCAUCAACU